This 853-nucleotide long non-coding RNA is filed under the name Pan troglodytes (chimpanzee). RNAcentral describes it as "long non-coding RNA NONPTRT008155". The record is from RNAcentral. Lineage: Eukaryota; Metazoa; Chordata; Mammalia; Primates; Hominidae.
UGGCACAUCUUCUCCCCGCAAGGGCUGAGAGUAAUUCUUCCCUCCUGGACCCUCAAACCAUAUAUUUUGUGCUGAGUGAUCUUAUCCACAUAAUGGCUUCAGCCACAGUCAAAAUGCAGAGGAUUCCUGUAUUUCAAUGUCUACUCUGGAGCUCUCAGUUGCGUUCUGGAUCUGUGUAUCCACCUGGCCACUUGACGCCUCCACUUGGAUGUCCCACAGGCAUCUCCAAUGCAAAAUGACUCAUGACCUUCUCCUCCCCAUCAGCACUCUCACAGGAGUUCCUGUCUAAGGAAAUGGUAUCACCAUCUUCCCAUUACAAAAGCCAUACAUUUGAGCACCAUCCUUGACUAAUUCCUGUUCCUUCCUCUGUUGUACCCAGUACCCAAAAGAAUGCCCAGCACAUGGUAGGUGCUCACUAAAUAGCUACUUGAUUGAAUGGAUAUGCAACCCACCACCAAGGAAUGCCACUGUGAUGAAUUAGAACUCUUCUAUCUAAUUCCAUUCUCUGCACCCUGGUCCAGACACCACCUCCUUUCACCUGGAUUUUGCCCUGCCUCUUCAGUGACCUCCCAGGAUGCACUCUGGCCUCUGUGAAGCCAAAGCUCUGCUCAGAUCUUUUCUAAAGUCACCCUCAAAAAUGAGUCACAUUUUUCAGUGGCAUCUCGUGAUUCCUAUAAUGAGGCCCAAGCUCCUCCCCAUGGCCAACAGCAUGGGCUGCCUACAGUAUGGGCUGCCCCCAUCCCAGCCUCACCUUGCUUACUCCCAAAAGCCUCUUUCUGACUCCUGCAGCCACUGUCUCCUUCUUGCUGCCCUUGAACAUGCUUUGACUACCCUGUUCCCUUGGGGACUUCAG